Molecule: ribosomal RNA, 619 nt
Filed under: uncultured Bacteroidota bacterium
Lineage: Bacteria; Pseudomonadati; Bacteroidota
Description: bacterial SSU rRNA
Rfam family: Bacterial small subunit ribosomal RNA
Source: RNAcentral
UGCAAGUCGAGGGGUAACAGAGAAGCUUGCUUCUGCUGACGACCGGCGCACGGGUGCGUAACGCGUAUGCAACCUACCUUAUACAGGAGAAUACCCCUUGGAAACGAGGAAUAAUGCUCCAUAGUAUCAUCACUUCGCAUGUUGAGAUGAUUAAAGAAUUUCGGUAUAAGAUGGGCAUGCGUCCUAUUAGCUAGUUGGUGAGGUAAUGGCUCACCAAGGCGACGAUAGGUAGGGGGCCUGAGAGGGUGAUCCCCCACACUGGUACUGAGACACGGACCAGACUCCUACGGGAGGCAGCAGUGAGGAAUAUUGGGCAAUGGAGGAAACUCUGACCCAGCCAUGCCGCGUGCAGGAAGACGGCCCUAUGGGUUGUAAACUGCUUUUGUACGAGAAUAAACCCUUCCACGUGUGGAAGGCUGAAGGUACCGUACGAAUAAGGAUCGGCUAACUCCGUGCCAGCAGCCGCGGUAAUACGGAGGAUCCAAGCGUUAUCCGGAUUUAUUGGGUUUAAAGGGUCCGUAGGCGGGUUUUUAAGUCAGUGGUGAAAGCCUACAGCUUAACUGUAGAAUUGCCAUUGAUACUGGAGACCUUGAGUGUAGUAGAAGUAGGCGGAAUAAGG